This 406-nucleotide ribosomal RNA is filed under the name uncultured bacterium. Its description in RNAcentral is "partial 16S ribosomal RNA". It matches the Rfam family "Bacterial small subunit ribosomal RNA", at positions 30 to 526 of the family's 1533-position model. The record is from RNAcentral.
AUUGAACGCUGGCGGCAGGCCUAACACAUGCAAGUCGAACGAGUGGCGGACGGGUGAGUAAUGUCUGGGAAACUGCCUGAUGGAGGGGGAUAACUACUGGAAACGGUAGCUAAUACCGCAUACCAUCGGAUGUGCCCAGAUGGGAUUAGCUAGUAGGUGGGGUAAAGGCUCACCUAGGCGACGAUCCCUAGCUGGUCUGAGAGGAUGACCAGCCACCCUGGACCUGAGCCACGGUCCAGACUCCUACGGGAGGCAGCAGUGGGGAAUAUUGCACAAUGGGCGCAAGCCUGAUACAGCCAUGCCGCGUGUACGAAGAAGGCCUUCGGGUUGUAAAGUACUUUCAGCGGGGAGGCGUUACCCGCAGAAGAAGCACCGGCUAACUCCGUGCCAGCCGCCGCGGUAAUUC